This 253-nucleotide ribosomal RNA is filed under the name uncultured bacterium. RNAcentral's name for it is "partial 16S ribosomal RNA". It matches the Rfam family "Bacterial small subunit ribosomal RNA", at positions 524 to 776 of the family's 1533-position model. The record is from RNAcentral.
UACGUAGGGUGCAAGCGUUGUCCGGAUUUAUUGGGCGUAAAGAGCUCGUAGGCGGUCUGUCGCGUCUGCCGUGAAAGUCCGGGGCUCAACUCCGGAUCUGCGGUGGGUACGGGCAGACUAGAGUGAUGUAGGGGAGACUGGAAUUCCUGGUGUAGCGGUGAAAUGCGCAGAUAUCAGGAGGAACACCGAUGGCGAAGGCAGGUCUCUGGGCAUUAACUGACGCUGAGGAGCGAAAGCAUGGGGAGCGAACAGG